This 83-nucleotide transfer RNA is filed under the name Dreissena polymorpha. It matches the Rfam family "tRNA". From Rfam's summary of the family: Transfer RNA (tRNA) molecules are approximately 80 nucleotides in length. Their secondary structure includes four short double-helical elements and three loops (D, anti-codon, and T loops). Further hydrogen bonds mediate the characteristic L-shaped molecular structure. tRNAs have two regions of fundamental functional importance: the anti-codon, which is responsible for specific mRNA codon recognition, and the 3' end, to which the tRNAs corresponding amino acid is attached (by aminoacyl-tRNA synthetases). tRNAs cope with the degeneracy of the genetic code in two manners: having more than one tRNA (with a specific anti-codon) for a particular amino acid; and 'wobble' base-pairing, i.e. permitting non-standard base-pairing at the 3rd anti-codon position. The record is from Rfam by way of RNAcentral. Lineage: Eukaryota; Metazoa; Mollusca; Bivalvia; Myida; Dreissenidae.
GUUGCCGUGGUCGAGUGGUUAAGGCGAUAGAAUUAAAAUAUUUUGGGAUUUUUCACGCGCAGGUUCGAAUCCUGCCGACAACG